AGUGGAUGGGGAACAACCUAGUUGUGCGUGUGUAAAGGUAGUGCCAAGAAAAGCGGUGAUCAUGAUGAAAAUCAAUUCCCGGUACCCGAAACCGACACAGGUGGGCAAGUAGAGAAUACUAAGGGGCGCGAGGUAACUCUCUCCAAGGAACUCGGCAAAAUGACCCCGUAACUUAGGGAGAAGGGGUGCCACCGAGAGGUGGUCGCAGUGAAGAGGCCCAGGCGACUGUUUAGCAAAAACAUAGGUCUCUGCAAACUCGAAAGAGGAGGUAUAGGGGCUGACGCCUGCCCAGUGCCGGAAGGUUAAAGAAGUUGGUCAGUCUUAGGAUGAAGCUAGCGACUGAAGCCCCGGUGAACGGCGGCCGUAACUAUAACGGUCCUAAGGUAGCGAAAUUCCUUGUCGGGUAAGUUCCGACCCGCACGAAAGGCGUAACGAUCUGGGCGCUGUCUCGGAGAGAGGCUCGGCGAAAUAGGAUUGUCUGUGAAGAUACGGACUACCUGCAUUUGGACAGAAAGACCCUAUGAAGCUUUACUAUAGCUUGGAAUUGUGUUCGGGCUUCCUGUGCGCAGGAUAGGUGGGAGGCGUAGAAGGUAUUCUUGUGGGGAUACUGGAGGCAACGGUGAGAUACCACUCUCAGGAGGCUAGAAUUCUAACUUAAUUAAGGACAGUUUCAGGUGGGUAGUUUGACUGGGGCGGUCGCCUCCAAAAAGGUAACGGAGGCGUACAAAGGUUCCCUCAGACUGGUUGGAAAUCAGUCGCAGAGUGCAAAGGCAGAAGGGAGCUUGACUGCGAGAAGUACAGUUCGAGCAGGGUGGAAACACGGUCUUAGUGAUCCGACGGUGCUGUGUGGAAGGGCCGUCGUUCAACGGAUAAAAGUUACUCUAGGAUAACAGGCUGAUCUCCCCCAAGAGUUCACAUCGACGGGGAGGUUUGGCACCUCGAUGUCGGCUCAUCGCAACCUGGGGCGGAAGUACGUCCCAAGGGUUGGGCUGUUCGCCCAUUAAAGCGGUACGUGAGCUGGGUUCAGAACGUCGUGAGACAGUUCGGUCCAUAUCCGAUGUAGGCGUGAGAAUAUUGAGAGGAGGCUUCCUUAGUACGAGAGGACCGGGAAGGACGCACCGCUGGUGUACCUGUUAUGAUGCCAAUUGUAAACGCAGGGUAGCCAAGUGCGGAGAGGAUAACCGCUGAAAGCAUCUAAGUGGGAAGCCCACCUCAAGAUGAGUAUUCUGGUGUAAGGUCACGGGAAGACGACCCGUAAAUAGGCACGAGGUGGAAGUGCAGAGAUGUAUGAAGCCGAAGUGUACUAAUAGACCGUCGGCUUGA
This 1323-nucleotide ribosomal RNA is filed under the name metagenome. RNAcentral describes it as "bacterial LSU rRNA". It matches the Rfam family "Bacterial large subunit ribosomal RNA", at positions 1561 to 2925 of the family's 2925-position model. The record is from RNAcentral.